GUAGGUGGCAAGCGUUGUCCGGAAUUAUUGGGCGUAAAGCGCGCGCAGGCGGUCCUUUAAGGUCUGAUGUGAAAGCCCACGGGCUCAACCGUGGAGGGUCAUUGGAAACUGGAGAACUUGAGUACAGAAGAGGAAAGCGGAAUUCCACGUGUAGCGGUGAAAUGCGUAGAGAUGUGGAGGAACACCAGUGGCGAAGGCGGCUUUCUGGUCUGUAACUGACGCUGAGGCGCGAAAGCGUGGGGAGCAAACAGGAUUAGAUACCCUGGUAGUCCACGCCGUAAACGAUGAGUGCUAAGUGUUAGGGGGUUUCCGCCCCUUAGUGCUGCAGCUAACGCAUUAAGCACUCCGCCUGGGGAGUACGGCCGCAAAGGCUG
Molecule: ribosomal RNA, 374 nt
Filed under: uncultured organism
Description: partial 16S ribosomal RNA
Rfam family: Bacterial small subunit ribosomal RNA
Source: RNAcentral